This 330-nucleotide ribosomal RNA is filed under the name uncultured bacterium. RNAcentral's name for it is "bacterial SSU rRNA". It matches the Rfam family "Bacterial small subunit ribosomal RNA", at positions 568 to 898 of the family's 1533-position model. The record is from RNAcentral.
UGCGUAGGCGGCUUCUUAAGUCUGGUGUGAAAUCUCCCGGCUCAACUGGGAGGGUGCGCCGGAUACUGAGGGGCUAGAGUGUGGGAGAGGAAAGUGGAAUUCCUGGUGUAGCGGUGAAAUGCGUAGAUAUCAGGAGGAACACCGGUGGUGUAAACGGCUUUCUGGACCAUUACUGACGCUGAUGCACGAAAGCGUGGGUAGCAAACAGGAUUAGAUAUCCUGGUAGUCCACGCCCUAAACGAUGCAUAUUUGGUGUGGGCCAUUCAGUUGGUCCGUGCCGGAGCUAACGCGUUAAAUAUGCCGCCUGGGGAGUACAGUCGCAAGGCUGAA